ACUCCUACGGGAGGCAGCAGUGGGGAAUCUUGCGCAAUGGACGAAAGUCUGACGCAGCGACGCCGCGUGAGUGAUGAAGGCCCUCGGGUUGUAAAGCUCUGUGGAGGGGGACGAAUAAGCAUUGGUUAAUAUCCAGUGUGAUGACGGUACCCUUUUAGCAAGCACCGGCUAACUCUGUGCCAGCAGCCGCGGUAAGACAGAGGGUGCAAACGUUGUUCGGAAUUACUGGGCGUAAAGCGCGUGUAGGCUGCUUCGCAAGUCGGAUGUGAAAGCCCUGGGCUCAACCCAGGAAGUGCAUUCGAAACUGCAGAGCUGGAGUCCUGGAGAGGAAGGCGGAAUUCUCGGUGUAGAGGUGAAAUUCGUAGAUAUCGAGAGGAACACCGGUGGCGAAGGCGGCCUUCUGGACAGUGACUGACGCUGAGACGCGAAAGCGUGGGGAGCAAACAGGAUUAGAUACCCUGGUAGUCCACGCCGUAAACGAUGGGUG
This 487-nucleotide ribosomal RNA is filed under the name uncultured bacterium. RNAcentral describes it as "bacterial SSU rRNA". It matches the Rfam family "Bacterial small subunit ribosomal RNA", at positions 335 to 815 of the family's 1533-position model. The record is from RNAcentral.